UACGGGAGGCAGCAGUAGGGAAUCUUCGGCAAUGGGGGCAACCCUGACCGAGCAACGCCGCGUGAGUGAAGAAGGUUUUCGGAUCGUAAAGCUCUGUUGUAAGUCAAGAACGAGUGUGAGAGUGGAAAGUUCACACUGUGACGGUAGCUUACCAGAAAGGGACGGCUAACUACGUGCCAGCAGCCGCGGUAAUACGUAGGUCCCGAGCGUUGUCCGGAUUUAUUGGGCGUAAAGCGAGCGCAGGCGGUUUGAUAAGUCUGAAGUUAAAGGCUGUGGCUCAACCAUAGUUCGCUUUGGAAACUGUCAAACUUGAGUGCAGAAGGGGAGAGUGGAAUUCCAUGUGUAGCGGUGAAAUGCGUAGAUAUAUGGAGGAACACC
RNAcentral lists this ribosomal RNA (378 nucleotides) under uncultured bacterium. RNAcentral describes it as "bacterial SSU rRNA". It matches the Rfam family "Bacterial small subunit ribosomal RNA", at positions 340 to 710 of the family's 1533-position model. The record is from RNAcentral.